This 734-nucleotide ribosomal RNA is filed under the name Teleaulax amphioxeia. RNAcentral's name for it is "eukaryotic LSU rRNA". It matches the Rfam family "Eukaryotic large subunit ribosomal RNA", at positions 297 to 947 of the family's 3401-position model. RNAcentral also lists the same sequence under 3 other names. The record is from RNAcentral. Lineage: Eukaryota; Cryptophyceae; Pyrenomonadales; Geminigeraceae.
UGGUAUACUUCAUCCAAAGCUAAAUAUGGACAAGAGACCGAUAGCAAACAAGUACCGUGAGGGAAAGGUGAAAAGAACUUUGAAAAGAGAGUGAAAUAGCGCUUGAAACCGUUAGGAGGAAAGCGAAUGGAGUUGCUAUACGACCGAGAUAUCUCAAACUGGCACGUAAGUUGGUUUCAGUGUAGUGAUCUCGUGUCUUCGUUCGUAGAAGACUGUCUAUCCUGGCGCGUGCUUAAAUCUCGAUAUCUUAUAUAUGGAAAAUUUAAAGGCUGUCCAGACGAACGUAUAACGACGGCUUCUAAUUUCUAGAAGAAUACUAAUCAUAGAAGUAACGUGCUUGCACGUUUAUUCUAUAUACUGUUCUUAGGACGGACGGAAGGGCUUCAUUCGACCCGUCUUGAAACACGGACCAAGGAGUCCAGCCUCCACGCGAGUGCUUGGGUGGCAAACCCUAGCGCGUAGUGAAAAUAAUGACGUAAACCUCUUUGUAAUUUUACAAAAAGUUUUAUGUUAAGGCGGGAAUAUGUUUAUGCACCGCCAUCCGACCGGCUUUCAUUAGUUUCUAAUGGUACCGGCUUGUGAUGGAGCGUGGAUGCUGGGACCCGAAAGAUGGUGAACUAUGCCCGAGUAGGAUGAAGCCAGAGGAAACUCUGGUGGAGGUCCGAAGGCGUUCUGACGUGCAAAUCGAUGCUCAAACUUGGGUAUAGGGGCGAAAGACUAAUCGAACCAUCUAG